This is a small nucleolar RNA of Lachancea dasiensis, 105 nucleotides long. It matches the Rfam family "Small nucleolar RNA snR64". From Rfam's summary of the family: snR64 is a member of the C/D class of snoRNA which contain the C (UGAUGA) and D (CUGA) box motifs. Most of the members of the box C/D family function in directing site-specific 2'-O-methylation of substrate RNAs. The record is from Rfam. NCBI's taxonomy places the organism in Eukaryota, Fungi, Ascomycota, Saccharomycetes, Saccharomycetales, Saccharomycetaceae.
ACCAAAUGAUGAGGAACCAGAUAGGGACAACAGACUUCGUUUGAAUGACGAGGAAAGUCUUUUAUAGCCCAGUUUUUAGUAGAGCUUGGGCGCCUUUGCCUGAUU